AGAACGAACGCUGGCGGCGUGCCUAACACAUGCAAGUCGAACGAGAAAGGGACUUCGGUCCUGAGUACAGUGGCGCACGGGUGAGUAACACGUAGGUAACCUACCUCUAAGUUUGGGAUAACCUGUCGAAAGAUGAGCUAAUACUGAAUGAGACCACAGUUUCCUCGGAAGCAGGGGUCAAAGGUAGCCUCUAUUUAUAAGCUAUCGCUUGGAGAUGGGCCUGCGUACCAUUAGCUAGUUGGUGAGGUAACGGCUCACCAAGGCAAAGAUGGUUAGCUGGUCUGAGAGGAUGAUCAGCCACACUGGAACUGAGACACGGUCCAGACUCCUACGGGAGCAGCAGUGGGGAAUAUUGCGCAAUGGGCGAAAGCCUGACGCAGCAACGCCGCGUGAGUGAUGAAGGCCUUCGGUCGUAAAGCUCUGUCGGAGGAACGAAGUGCUCUCGAGGUUAACAGCCUCGGAAGUGACGUACCUACAAAGGAAGACACCGG
This 491-nucleotide ribosomal RNA is filed under the name uncultured soil bacterium. RNAcentral describes it as "bacterial SSU rRNA". It matches the Rfam family "Bacterial small subunit ribosomal RNA", at positions 26 to 497 of the family's 1533-position model. The record is from RNAcentral.